RNAcentral lists this long non-coding RNA (248 nucleotides) under Solanum tuberosum (potato). RNAcentral describes it as "long non-coding RNA (STUB_LNC006992)". Lineage: Eukaryota; Viridiplantae; Streptophyta; Magnoliopsida; Solanales; Solanaceae. The record is from RNAcentral.
CUUUGACACUUCUGAAUAGCUGUAAUCAAUGUCAUUGUCCUUCAAAAAUGCCUCAAUCAUUGCUUUAACUUUCUCUGGCUCCAAGCUUUCACAUUCAAUCUCAUAACAAGUCCCAAAGUCAUACAUAGUCUCAUCUACCUCCAAUACCACACCACACCACUCAAACACAUUCCUCACAUUCUUAAACCCACCCAAUCCAAUAAACCCUUCCUCCCCAACGUGAAAUUCCUCUCUUGCCCUUUUCAAAA